CCUACGGGAGGCAGCAGUGAGGAAUAUUGGUCAAUGGGCGGGAGCCUGAACCAGCCAAGUCGCGUGAAGGAAGAAGGUACUUAGUAUUUUAAACUUCGUUUGUCGGGGAACAAAGGCGGAGACGCGUCUCCGGAUGAGUGUACCCGAAGAAAAAGCAUCGGCUAACUCCGUGCCAGCAGCCGCGGUAAUACGGGGGAUGCGAGCGUUAUCCGGAUUUAUUGGGUUUAAGGGGUGCGCAGGCGGGUGAUCAAGUCCGCGGUAAAAGGGCGGGGCUCAACCGCGUCCGGCGGUGGAAACUGGUUUUUGAGAGUUGGAGAGAGGUAUGCGGAAUUCGAGGUGUAGCGGUGAAAUGCAUAGAUAUCACGAAGAACUCCAAGGGCGAAGGCAGCAUACCGGCUCCAUACUGACGCUGAGGGACGAAAGCGUGGGGAUCGAACAGGAUUAGAUACCCCUGUAGUC
This 459-nucleotide ribosomal RNA is filed under the name uncultured bacterium. Its description in RNAcentral is "partial 16S ribosomal RNA". It matches the Rfam family "Bacterial small subunit ribosomal RNA", at positions 338 to 795 of the family's 1533-position model. The record is from RNAcentral.